This 1023-nucleotide ribosomal RNA is filed under the name uncultured organism. RNAcentral describes it as "bacterial SSU rRNA". It matches the Rfam family "Bacterial small subunit ribosomal RNA", at positions 432 to 1435 of the family's 1533-position model. The record is from RNAcentral.
UCUGUCGUGAGGGAAGAAAAAGACCGAGAAAUAUAAGUUCGGUAAUUGACGGUACCUCACAAGCAAGCUCCGGCUAACUUCGUGCCAGCAGCCGCUGUAAUACGAGGGGAGCAAGCGUUGUCCGAAAUAACUGNGCGUAAAGGGUACGUAGGCUUUUUUGUAUGUUUCCGGUGAAAUUCACGGGCUCAACUUGUGACUUGCCGGAAAAACUGCAGAGAUUGAAUCCGGAAGGGGAAAGCGGAAAUCCUGGUGUAGCGGUGAAAUGCGUAGAUAUCAGGAGGAACACCAGUGGCGAAGGCGGCUUUCUGGUCCGGAAUUGACGCUGAGGUACUAAAGCGUGGGUAGCAAACAGGAUUAGAUACCCUGGUAGUCCACGCCCUAAACGAUGGAUACUUGAUGUCGGGAUGUUCGGUCGUCUCGGUGUCGUAGCUAACGUGUUAAGUAUCCCGCCUGGGGACUACGGUCGCAAGACUGAAACUCAAAGGAAUUGACGGGGGCCCGCACCAGCGGUGGAACAUGUGGUUUAAUUCGAUGCAACGCGAAGGACCUUACCUGGGCUUGACAUAUAUAUGAAGUAUGUAAGAAAUUAUGUAUUCUGUCUGCAUUUGCAGGUAGCAUAUAUACAGGUGAUGCAUGGCUGUCGUCAGCUCGUGUCGUGAGAUGUAGGGUUAAGUCCCUUAACGAGCGCAACCCUUGCUUUUAGUUGCCAUCAGGUAAUGCUGGGGACUCUAGAAGGACUGCCGAGGUUAACUCGGAGGAAGGUGGGGAUGACGUCAAGUCAGUAUGUCCCUUAUGUCCAGGGCUACACACGUGUUACAAUGGACGGUACAGAGUGCAGCUACGCCGUGAGGCUAUGCAAAUCACUUAAAGCCGUUCCCAGUUCGGAUUGGAGUCUGCAAUUCGACUCCAUGAAGUUGGAAUCGCUAGUAAUCGCAGAACAGCAUGCUGCGGUGAUACGUUCCCGGGCAUUGUACACACCGCCCGUCACGCCAUGGAAGUUGGGAGUACCCAAAGUUGCUGUCU